RNAcentral lists this unclassified non-coding RNA (214 nucleotides) under Hevea brasiliensis (rubber tree). The record is from RNAcentral. Lineage: Eukaryota; Viridiplantae; Streptophyta; Magnoliopsida; Malpighiales; Euphorbiaceae.
GGAACUUACAAAUUUAACACAUUUAUGGAGUUGAAAAGGCUAUAGUUACUAUAACUAUAUUUAUUGAUUCACCACAAAAGCUCAGUCACUGCAGAUAUAAAGAAAGGAAAGCAUACCAGCAUAUAACAACCGUGCUAUUGAAUUCAAACAUCAUGCUAAUAUCAAACCCGGCAAGUCCAGUUCACUAGAUCUGAUCUAUGGCAGAAAUAUUCAA